Molecule: ribosomal RNA, 408 nt
Filed under: Triticum aestivum (bread wheat)
Lineage: Eukaryota; Viridiplantae; Streptophyta; Magnoliopsida; Poales; Poaceae
Description: partial small subunit ribosomal RNA
Source: RNAcentral
AUGCGGCGCCUUCCGCUUCGACCAGCUCGGACAGUGCCCCAACUUCACCUGCGCCUCCAACUUCAGCAAAUGUUUAGAGACGACUUCAACUUUCGAGCUGUUAGUCUGGCUACCAUAGGCCUUCUUUCUUUUGGUAGUCUGCAUAUGUACCCGUUGAGGCUUAGACCUAUCAUGUAUCUGCAUCUGCAUCUCUCUCUAUGUACUGGCAAUAUGCCUGCUCAACCUGUUGCUUUAGUUUCUGUUAUGCAUCAUGUACUCUGUUUCCGUCUCUUGGCCACCCACUAUGUACGCUCUGUUGAGCCUCUGUCUCUUUCCAAGAUUUAUGCGAUCUACUACGACUCACUCUGCUUGUCCUACUCAUAUCUACUUCUGCAUAAUGUUGGCUCACACUACAAUGAAAAUCCUUAA